UUGGACCUUGCAGGGUAUCAAGGCAUGUGAUCGAGUUUGUGACGCACGUCCGGUUAGUCGAAUUGUAAGUGUUUUCAGGUGAUCGUGAACCGAGGAUGUACGUGAGUAGUGCUUUCCUUGCCGGAGCUGAUGUAGCCGUUGAGGUGACAUAGACGAGGAGUUGGAUUUUGGGCUCGACGAGAGGACGAUCUAGCUAGUAUGGUAUAGCGAUUGCCACCCUGGGGUUCGUAUACUGACGGUUGAUCGAGGUAAGGGGGAUCACGCAGUAGUUAGCAUCUCCUAC
Molecule: long non-coding RNA, 283 nt
Organism: Ananas comosus (pineapple)
Lineage: Eukaryota; Viridiplantae; Streptophyta; Magnoliopsida; Poales; Bromeliaceae
Exons: 3
Source: RefSeq, a predicted model, not a curated record